This 148-nucleotide small RNA is filed under the name Pongo abelii (Sumatran orangutan). RNAcentral's name for it is "Metazoan signal recognition particle RNA (ENSPPYG00000033698.1)". The record is from Rfam by way of RNAcentral. Lineage: Eukaryota; Metazoa; Chordata; Mammalia; Primates; Hominidae.
GCCAGGCAUGGUGGUGCAUGCCUGUAGUCCCAGCUACUCGGGAGGCUGAGGCAGGAGAAUCGCUUGAACCCGGGAGGUGGAGGUUGCAGUGAGCCAAGAUCAUGUCACUGCACUCCAGCCUGGGUGACAGAGUGAGACUCUGUCUCAA